RNAcentral lists this ribosomal RNA (468 nucleotides) under uncultured bacterium. RNAcentral describes it as "partial 16S ribosomal RNA". It matches the Rfam family "Bacterial small subunit ribosomal RNA", at positions 28 to 507 of the family's 1533-position model. The record is from RNAcentral.
GACGAACGCUGGCGGCGUGCUUAACACAUGCAAGUCGAACGGAAAGGCCCUGCUUUUGUGGGGUGCUCGAGUGGCGAACGGGUGAGUAACACGUGAGUAACCUGCCCUUGACUUUGGGAUAACUUCAGGAAACUGGGGCUAAUACCGGAUAGGAGCUCCUGCUGCAUGGUGGGGGUUGGAAAGUUUCGGCGGUUGGGGAUGGACUCGCGGCUUAUCGGCUUGUUGGUGGGGUAGUGGCUUGCCAAGGCUUUGACGGGUAGCCGGCCUGAGAGGGUGACCGGCCACAUUGGGACUGAGAUACGGCCCAGACUCCUACGGGAGGCAGCAGUGGGGAAUAUUGCACAAUGGGCGGAAGCCUGAUGCAGCAACGCCGCGUGCGGGAUGACGGCCUUCGGGUUGUAAACCGCUUUCGCCUGUGACGAAGCGUGAGUGACGGUAAUGGGUAAAGAAGCACCGGCUAACUACGUG